This 71-nucleotide transfer RNA is filed under the name Marmota monax (woodchuck). RNAcentral describes it as "tRNA.Val". The record is from RNAcentral. Lineage: Eukaryota; Metazoa; Chordata; Mammalia; Rodentia; Sciuridae.
GAGGUUGUGGCUCAGUGGUAGAGUGCUUAUCUCACGCAUGCGAGGCACUGGGUUCGAUUCUCAGCACCACA